UCGGUUAGAGACUGCGGAGGACAUUA
This 26-nucleotide ribosomal RNA is filed under the name Ramaria cf. celerivirescens AGK 072. RNAcentral describes it as "partial 18S ribosomal RNA". Lineage: Eukaryota; Fungi; Basidiomycota; Agaricomycetes; Gomphales; Gomphaceae. The record is from RNAcentral.